Molecule: ribosomal RNA, 2522 nt
Filed under: Escherichia coli
Lineage: Bacteria; Pseudomonadati; Pseudomonadota; Gammaproteobacteria; Enterobacterales; Enterobacteriaceae
Description: partial 23S ribosomal RNA
Rfam family: Bacterial large subunit ribosomal RNA
Source: RNAcentral
CGGGACACGUGGUAUCCUGUCUGAAUAUGGGGGGACCAUCCUCCAAGGCUAAAUACUCCUGACUGACCGAUAGUGAACCAGUACCGUGAGGGAAAGGCGAAAAGAACCCCGGCGAGGGGAGUGAAAAAGAACCUGAAACCGUGUACGUACAAGCAGUGGGAGCACAGAGCAAUCUGUGUGACUGCGUACCUUUUGUAUAAUGGGUCAGCGACUUAUAUUCUGUAGCAAGGUUAACCGAAUAGGGGAGCCGAAGGGAAACCGAGUCUUAACUGGGCGUUAAGUUGCAGGGUAUAGACCCGAAACCCGGUGAUCUAGCCAUGGGCAGGUUGAAGGUUGGGUAACACUAACUGGAGGACCGAACCGACUAAUGUUGAAAAAUUAGCGGAUGACUUGUGGCUGGGGGUGAAAGGCCAAUCAAACCGGGAGAUAGCUGGUUCUCCCCGAAAGCUAUUUAGGUAGCGCCUCGUGAAUUCAUCUCCGGGGGUAGAGCACUGUUUCGGCAAGGGGGUCAUCCCGACUUACCAACCCGAUGCAAACUGCGAAUACCGGAGAAUGUUAUCACGGGAGACACACGGCGGGUGCUAACGUCCGUCGUGAAGAGGGAAACAACCCAGACCGCCAGCUAAGGUCCCAAAGUCAUGGUUAAGUGGGAAACGAUGUGGGAAGGCCCAGACAGCCAGGAUGUUGGCUUAGAAGCAGCCAUCAUUUAAAGAAAGCGUAAUAGCUCACUGGUCGAGUCGGCCUGCGCGGAAGAUGUAACGGGGCUAAACCAUGCACCGAAGCUGCGGCAGCGACGCUUAUGCGUUGUUGGGUAGGGGAGCGUUCUGUAAGCCUGUGAAGGUGUGCUGUGAGGCAUGCUGGAGGUAUCAGAAGUGCGAAUGCUGACAUAAGUAACGAUAAAGCGGGUGAAAAGCCCGCUCGCCGGAAGACCAAGGGUUCCUGUCCAACGUUAAUCGGGGCAGGGUGAGUCGACCCCUAAGGCGAGGCCGAAAGGCGUAGUCGAUGGGAAACAGGUUAAUAUUCCUGUACUUGGUGUUACUGCGAAGGGGGGACGGAGAAGGCUAUGUUGGCCGGGCGACGGUUGUCCCGGUUUAAGCGUGUAGGCUGGUUUUCCAGGCAAAUCCGGAAAAUCAAGGCUGAGGCGUGAUGACGAGGCACUACGGUGCUGAAGCAACAAAUGCCCUGCUUCCAGGAAAAGCCUCUAAGCAUCAGGUAACAUCAAAUCGUACCCCAAACCGACACAGGUGGUCAGGUAGAGAAUACCAAGGCGCUUGAGAGAACUCGGGUGAAGGAACUAGGCAAAAUGGUGCCGUAACUUCGGGAGAAGGCACGCUGAUAUGUAGGUGAAGUCCCUCGCGGAUGGAGCUGAAAUCAGUCGAAGAUACCAGCUGGCUGCAACUGUUUAUUAAAAACACAGCACUGUGCAAACACGAAAGUGGACGUAUACGGUGUGACGCCUGCCCGGUGCCGGAAGGUUAAUUGAUGGGGUUAGCGGUAACGCGAAGCUCUUGAUCGAAGCCCCGGUAAACGGCGGCCGUAACUAUAACGGUCCUAAGGUAGCGAAAUUCCUUGUCGGGUAAGUUCCGACCUGCACGAAUGGCGUAAUGAUGGCCAGGCUGUCUCCACCCGAGACUCAGUGAAAUUGAACUCGCUGUGAAGAUGCAGUGUACCCGCGGCAAGACGGAAAGACCCCGUGAACCUUUACUAUAGCUUGACACUGAACAUUGAGCCUUGAUGUGUAGGAUAGGUGGGAGGCUUAGAAGUGUGGACGCCAGUCUGCAUGGAGCCGACCUUGAAAUACCACCCUUUAAUGUUUGAUGUUCUAACGUUGACCCGUAAUCCGGGUUGCGGACAGUGUCUGGUGGGUAGUUUGACUGGGGCGGUCUCCUCCUAAAGAGUAACGGAGGAGCACGAAGGUUGGCUAAUCCUGGUCGGACAUCAGGAGGUUAGUGCAAUGGCAUAAGCCAGCUUGACUGCGAGCGUGACGGCGCGAGCAGGUGCGAAAGCAGGUCAUAGUGAUCCGGUGGUUCUGAAUGGAAGGGCCAUCGCUCAACGGAUAAAAGGUACUCCGGGGAUAACAGGCUGAUACCGCCCAAGAGUUCAUAUCGACGGCGGUGUUUGGCACCUCGAUGUCGGCUCAUCACAUCCUGGGGCUGAAGUAGGUCCCAAGGGUAUGGCUGUUCGCCAUUUAAAGUGGUACGCGAGCUGGGUUUAGAACGUCGUGAGACAGUUCGGUCCCUAUCUGCCGUGGGCGCUGGAGAACUGAGGGGGGCUGCUCCUAGUACGAGAGGACCGGAGUGGACGCAUCACUGGUGUUCGGGUUGUCAUGCCAAUGGCACUGCCCGGUAGCUAAAUGCGGAAGAGAUAAGUGCUGAAAGCAUCUAAGCACGAAACUUGCCCCGAGAUGAGUUCUCCCUGACUCCUUGAGAGUCCUGAAGGAACGUUGAAGACGACGACGUUGAUAGGCCGGGUGUGUAAGCGCAGCGAUGCGUUGAGCUAACCGGUACUAAUGAACCGUGAGG